This 71-nucleotide transfer RNA is filed under the name Marmota monax (woodchuck). RNAcentral's name for it is "tRNA.Ser". Lineage: Eukaryota; Metazoa; Chordata; Mammalia; Rodentia; Sciuridae. The record is from RNAcentral.
GGAUUGUGGCUCAGAGGUAGAGUGCUUGCCUACUAGCAUGCAUGAGGCACUGGGUUCAACUCUCAGCACCA